Molecule: long non-coding RNA, 1329 nt
Filed under: Panax ginseng (ginseng)
Lineage: Eukaryota; Viridiplantae; Streptophyta; Magnoliopsida; Apiales; Araliaceae
Description: long non-coding RNA (PGIN_LNC010879)
Source: RNAcentral
GAGAGUAAAAAAAAAAAACAUGCCUUCCGCUAUUUGGGCUAGCGGAAACUCUAAAAAAAAAAUUCGGAUCACAUUGCCCAAUACACAUCGGCUAGUUCAACUAGCGUACGAAUCAUUUCCCAGAAUCCCCUGCGAUUUCUUCUUCAAUUAAAUCCUCCAUCCUCUGCUGAUGCGAAGAAGAUGCUGCAACCCCCAAGCGAUUUCUUCAAUUAAAUCCUCCUAUUUCACUGCUGAUGCGAAGAACAUGCUGCGAUAAUCUGUAAAGCCUCCAUCAUCCUCUGCUGCGAUACCAAACCCUGAUGCGAUUUCUUCUUCGAGCGAAUCCGUCAUCCUCUGCUGCGAUAAUGUGUAAAGCCUCCCUCAUCCUUCAAUUCAGAUAAUUUGUAAAGCCUCCCUCCUGCUGCGAAAACCAAACCCACUGGCGAUUUCAAUUUCGAGCGAAUCCUAUAAACCAAACCCUCCUUUGUGUCCGACUGGCGAUUUCUCCUUUGUGUCCGACUGGCGAUUUUGAAUACAGAUAUCAAAUACACCUCUUUCCCCUCUUCACUCCAAUCCAAUCCAAUCCUCUGAUCCUCUUCAAUUCAGGUAACUUUUGAUCAAUUUAGAUUUUAUUUCAACUGGCGAUUUUGUUUUGUUGUUAUUCAAUUGAUUAAUAUGGUACUGAUUAGUUAACUUGUUUUGUAUCUAAUGUAUGUCAUUUAUUUGGAGUGUUAUGUAUGAACCUUGUUGGCUUGAAACACUGAAUUUUCAUGGUUUAUCAUGUAGAAAUGGUUGUAAAGGUGGAUGACAUUGUCAGGUUUGGAAGCUGUAUUUGAUAGGGUUUUUACUGGUACGAAUAAUUAUUGACAUGUAAUGCAGGGUUUAUACAUAUUUUGCUAAGGUUAUGUUUUCUUUGGAGGUGCUAUAUCAUUUUUCCAUAUUGAUCCAUACUCAUUUUCCUGAAGCCAUAUCUGGAUAAUAGCCUAUGUUACAAUUAGAAUUUUCUCUCAGUUAUUUAGGUUAUCACAUUAUCGGCAUAUAGAGUGUAAGGCAUUUGGUUUCGCAUUGAUCGUAUGCAGACAUACCAUUAAAUAGGUUGGAAUAUUGCAUCUUGUGCUACAGUUAGUCUGCAGUCAGGGUUUAGUUUUAAAUUUCUUCUUGUGUUUGUUGCCUACCAGCUUUGGAUGUAGCUGUACUUGUCUAUGUUAUAUGGUAUGUAUCUGAUUUGGGAAUAUAUGGGUUUGUGCUUGUGAAAUCAUUAGCCAGUCAUGUAGCAAAUAACAGAGAACUUGGUAUACCCUGUUUUGCAAAUUUUAUUUGUUAGGCAUGCUAUGUCAGUUUUGAAUAGGC